RNAcentral lists this long non-coding RNA (226 nucleotides) under Carica papaya (papaya). RNAcentral describes it as "long non-coding RNA (CPAP_LNC001540)". The record is from RNAcentral. Lineage: Eukaryota; Viridiplantae; Streptophyta; Magnoliopsida; Brassicales; Caricaceae.
CAGUGACCAGCUGAAAGUACUUAUGUUGCACCCUUAUUUUUGCAGACGGGGCGUAAAACAUUAUGCAGGACUGGAGCGAUGGUUCGCUGAUUCAUUCGCAAACGUGAGUCACGGCAUCGGGACAUUUUGCUUUAAAUUUUUUGUGUAUUCAAUUAAAAUGCAUCAUGUGAUAAGAGUGUUAUUACGAGUAUCUUACAUAAUAGAACAACGAAAACAUAGGCGAGGC